GCGUCAGUGGUGCAACGGGUUAACUCACACCCCUCGGAUAGUGUGAAGUGCGGGUUCGAGUCCCACCUGGCGCA
Non-coding RNA from Parelaphostrongylus tenuis, 74 nucleotides. Lineage: Eukaryota; Metazoa; Nematoda; Chromadorea; Rhabditida; Metastrongylidae. The record is from the annotation of a GenBank genome assembly.